UACAGAGGGUGCGAGCGUUAAUCGGAAUUACUGGGCGUAAAGCGCGCGUAGGCGGAUUUGCAAGUCGGAUGUGAAAUCCCCAGGCUUAACCUGGGAACUGCAUUCGAGACUGCAUUGCUAGAGUAUGGGAGAGGGAAGUGGAAUUUCCGGUGUAGCGGUGAAAUGCGUAGAUAUCGGAAGGAACAUCAGUGGCGAAAGCGACUUCCUGGACCAAUACUGACGCUCAUGUGCGAAAGCGUGGGGAGCAAACAGG
RNAcentral lists this ribosomal RNA (253 nucleotides) under uncultured bacterium. RNAcentral's name for it is "partial 16S ribosomal RNA". It matches the Rfam family "Bacterial small subunit ribosomal RNA", at positions 524 to 776 of the family's 1533-position model. The record is from RNAcentral.